GGCAGUUCUCGGGUGGCGCAUCCUGGAAUCCAGCUCCCUCCUUUCUGGUUCUGUGGUUCAUCACCCGAGAACCACU
Myotis davidii is the source of this 76-nucleotide non-coding RNA. NCBI's taxonomy places the organism in Eukaryota, Metazoa, Chordata, Mammalia, Chiroptera, Vespertilionidae. The record is from Rfam.